Molecule: non-coding RNA, 2836 nt
Organism: Anas platyrhynchos (mallard)
Lineage: Eukaryota; Metazoa; Chordata; Aves; Anseriformes; Anatidae
Source: RefSeq, a predicted model, not a curated record
AAACCCAAACCAGGUGUAAAAGCAUGAAAACAAACAACCACCAGCUUUCACAGGGAUAAAGAUGAUAAUUUCAGCUUUGUCAUCUCUCAGGUUUUUCUCAUGAAUCUCAUGAGAGUAACUAUUCUUUUUUUCUUUCCUUAAUUAUUUGGCUAGUACUCAGGUGGGGCAAAUGAGCUUUGAUUCAAACCCAGUGUGUUUCUAGCCAUUUUGUAGCUGUGGAGGAAACACUGCUGUUGUGUGGUGGAAAGGCUCUGGAACCAGAAGCUGAAGGAUAACUUGCAGUUAUUCGCACCCAGGCUGAGCUGCUGGCAUGCCUGCCUUUCCAUGUACUUCCCCAGAAUCUGCACGUUACAACAACCAGCUGGAAGUUCAGACCCUCUGUGUAUUUAAAAAGCUGUUGUACCUUUCUCCUUGGGCCGUUAGCUACCUAAGGAGCUGGCAAGUUGUCCGUCAUUUCUCCCCGAUUCGCAGAGCAGUGCCACCACAAGCUGCACGUACUCUAUUAUACGCGGUGCUUCACCCUCCAGAAGAAAUGCAUUUUCUUGCUUUUCCUUUAUGGGUCAAUCUGGGAAUCGAGUUGUGUCUGUAGGAACCUGGCAGAGCAGCGCCUGCCUCGCGGCACAGCAGGAGAGCUCUGGGGCUGUGCGCGCCCAGGUCCAGCCCUAUUUGUGGUGGUAAUGGGACAACCGUGCUCGUGUGUGCUUCAGGAAGACAGGCAGCUUGAUCAGGAGCCCAGGAAAUCACGGUGUAUAUAUAUUUAAUAUGAAUCAUGACUCAGAUGCUCGGUAACACGGCCACUUAGCUCUGGCUGAGAAGCAGCAGGGUAAGGCCCUGUUCUGCGGGGGGCUGGGGGAAGCAGAGCUCGCUGCUGCACCACAGCCACGUCUCUCAGGCUUCUGAACAGCCCUGCCCUGAACGUGCCUCCAGCCCUGGAGAACGAGCAGGGCUCCUCCAAAAUGAACAGGCUUGCACCGAAACAAAGCUGAUGCGAAACUGCAAGGAGCCAGGACAGUCAGAGCAAUAGUUGUCUCGGGAGGAUGGGAGAGAACACCUCAGAGCGAAAUUCUGAGCUACAGAAACAAAAAUAAAAUUAAAAAAUUGAAGGAUUUUCAUUUUUAGUGUUGUUUCUGUGCCUUUUGCUCAGAGGAAAAACCCUUUUGGAAAAUUCUAUAUUACUAUCGUGUACUAGGCUAUAGCGCAGAGGCUAGCUCAGACAAACUACCACAGCUUCCUUGGUUUCAACUGAAUGAAUUUAAUUUACAGCAGCAAAUAUCUGGCGUGGAUUUUUUAUUUUAAUUAUUAACAUUAGUCAACUGGAACAUCUGUUAAUGCUUUCCUAAUGAUAGCCUUGUUUUCUCAUAGUAAGUAAACUUUUCCCUUUUAUAUAAAUUGAGCUAAUUUUUUAAUGUCUCGGUAACAUGGGAAAAGUUAUCCUACAGGUUACAAAUCGCUUUUAUAAAGCACUCUGUCACAGAAAGAAAUUACAGUGUCAGGAAAAUGCUCAAUUAUCUGGAUUUAAAUGUUUCAGGGUUCAAAACAAAAAUAUUUAUGUAUAUACAGGUGUGUAUGCAUUUGAGUUAAAAACCCUUGCACUUUAUAAUUUCUUGUUUUAAAUACCGGCUACAUUUUAAAGACAAAUAGCAGAUAAUAUUUGAGAUAUUUAUAAAAGCUCUGAGCAUGGCUGAAAUGGAAGCUGCUAAUGGGCACCUGCUAAGGAGGCAAAGUCUGAUGGAGCAGGGAGCAUGGGGGGGACUCUGGCUGCGGUUUUGGCAGCCUCCGCGAGACGGGCAUUGCCAGCGCUCUCAUUAGGAACAAGAUCCUUCCAAACACACUUAAACGAUUUCUGAAGAGAGAAGCAGAUGAAAUAUUGGGUGAAAAUGCCAAUUUGGAAAAGCGGAAAGGUUUUAUGGGCAGAUGAAGGGGAGCAGGGGGUGUUAACCGCCCACACCACAGGGUGCAAGGCAGGAAGAUGGGGAUGCCCCAGGGCCGGGAGGUUUCAUCGCUGCCGCUCAUUCAUUUCGGGGCCAUGGAGCUCAGCCGGGGAUGAGCUGGUGCUGGGGGCACCUGGCUGCACUGCUGCCACCCCAGCGUGCCUCUUGGAGGGACACAGGGAGCAGGAAUAGGGGCUGAUAGCUCAGAGGAGCAACUUCUCUGUCUAGCGAGGGUUUUGGGCAAGCCAGCAGAGAGUGCUUGGCCUCUGGUCCUCAGUCAGGAAGGUGCUCGGUGCCCGAUGAACAUGGUCAGAGGCAGGCAGAGGCUGUCGGAGAGCACAGGCUCUCCUCAGGGGCUGGUAUCGCCCAGGUCUCUGUACAUCUCAUAAGUCUGUGAGAAUGACACAGUUUGAGCUGACAGACUGUGUGCUGGAGACACCUCUUUUAGUGAAAAUCCUGCAACAAAGCGCCCCAAAUCAGUAAGACCACAAGUUUAAGUUUAAGGCUUGGAUAGCUCCUCAUACGUCCCUUUCCAAUGAACUCUUAAAAGCUCUGUUUAAACGUCUGUUUUUUUUUUAAUUCUUGUCAACUCAUUUAAAGCACUCGUUCAUGUAUAAUUUCGGUGAUUGCAGUGUACUGAGGACACUUCAAGUCCUCAGGAGCACUCAGUUUUCUCUACCCGCGUGUUCAGAAAGGAAGGGAAAGAGAACGAGACCAAGUCACCACACAGACGGGAACAGGGACUUAUUUGCACUCUAGAGCACAUUCUGCAUGUAUUUUACAACAAAGUUUUGUUCCCAAGCAACCCUGAGUGUUUCCUUGACCCUAACUUUCUUGUGGCAAAGGUAUAACGAUGUACACGUGUGUGUUGGCAGAAAGAUAGGUGCAGUCGUUGUUAAACAGAA